Molecule: ribosomal RNA, 801 nt
Filed under: Triticum aestivum (bread wheat)
Lineage: Eukaryota; Viridiplantae; Streptophyta; Magnoliopsida; Poales; Poaceae
Description: partial small subunit ribosomal RNA
Source: RNAcentral
AUGGUGGCAGCCACCAUGUCCCUCUCCUCCUCGACCUUUGCCGGCAAGGCGGUGAAGAAUGUACAAUCUUUGGCUCUCUUUGGCGAGGCCCGAGUCACCAUGCGCAAGACCGCAGCGAAGGCGAAGCAGGUUUCCUCGGGCAGCCCAUGGUACGGUGCUGACCGUGUGCUUUACCUCGGCCCACUCUCCGGUGAGCCCCCGAGCUACCUGACAGGUGAGUUCCCAGGUGACUAUGGGUGGGACACAGCCGGACUUUCGGCUGACCCCGAGACCUUCUCCAAGAACCGAGAGUUGGAGGUGAUCCACUGUCGUUGGGCCAUGCUUGGGGCACUUGGUUGUGUCUUCCCUGAGUUGCUCGCUCGCAACGGUGUCAAGUUCGGCGAGGCUGUUUGGUUCAAGGCCGGCUCCCAGAUCUUUAGUGAGGGUGGUCUCGACUACCUCGGCAACCCCAGCCUUGUGCACGCGCAAAGCAUCCUAGCUAUUUGGGCAUGUCAGGUCGUGCUCAUGGGUGCUGUCGAGGGGUACCGCGUUGCCGGUGGCCCACUCGGCGAGAUAGUCGACCCACUAUACCCAGGAGGCAGCUUUGACCCUCUCGGACUCGCCGACGACCCUGAGGCAUUCGUUGAGCUCAAGGUGAAAGAGAUCAAGAACGGUCGCCUCGCCAUGUUCUCAAUGUUCGGCUUCUUUGUCCAAGCUAUCGUUACGGGCAAGGGUCCACUUGAGAACCUUGCUGACCACAUCGCUGACCCCGUCAACAACAACGCAUGGGCGUUCGCCACCAACUUUGUCCCCGGCAAGUAA